AGUGAACACUGGCGGUAGGCCUAACACAUGCAAGUCGAACGGCAGCACAGUAAGAGCUUGCUCUUACGGGUGGCGAGUGGCGGACGGGUGAGGAAUACAUCGGAAUCUACUUUUUCGUGGGGGAUAACGUAGGGAAACUUACGCUAAUACCGCAUACGACCUACGGGUGAAAGCAGGGGAUCUUCGGACCUUGCGCGAUUGAAUGAGCCGAUGUCGGAUUAGCUAGUUGGCGGGGUAAAGGCCCACCAAGGCGACGAUCCGUAGCUGGUCUGAGAGGAUGAUCAGCCACACUGGAACUGAGACACGGUCCAGACUCCUACGGGAGGCAGCAGUGGGGAAUAUUGGACAAUGGGCGCAAGCCUGAUCCAGCCAUACCGCGUGGGUGAAGAAGGCCUUCGGGUUGUAAAGCCCUUUUGUUGGGAAAGAAAAGCAGCAGGUUAAGACCCCGCUGUUCUGACGGUACCCAAAGAAUAAGCACCGGCUAACUUCGU
This 491-nucleotide ribosomal RNA is filed under the name uncultured bacterium. RNAcentral describes it as "partial 16S ribosomal RNA". It matches the Rfam family "Bacterial small subunit ribosomal RNA", at positions 29 to 506 of the family's 1533-position model. The record is from RNAcentral.